This 413-nucleotide long non-coding RNA is filed under the name Nicotiana benthamiana. RNAcentral describes it as "long non-coding RNA (NBEN_LNC033023)". The record is from RNAcentral. Lineage: Eukaryota; Viridiplantae; Streptophyta; Magnoliopsida; Solanales; Solanaceae.
CUGAUACCAAGCUAUUGCUCUGAGCAGCAGUUAUUUGCUUAUCGAUACUCACUCUCUCUGUGAAAUCAGAAGAACCAAUGAAGGGACUCAUUGGUGAUGUUGGUGAAGUGCUCAACGACACCACAGAAGGUGGGGAAGUAAGAGAAGCUGGAGCAAGCACUGUCAUUGUUAGAUCUUGUGAAGUCAGGUUUGAUGCCUGAAGAGUUAAGACCUGACAAAUUGAACAAUUUAAGAGAAAACUGACACCACAGAAGGUGGGGAAGUAAGGGAAGCUGGAGCAAGCACUGUCAUUGUUAGAUCUUGUGAAGUCAGGUUUGAUGCCUGAAGAGUUAAGACCUGACAAAUCAAACAAUUUAAGAGAAACCUUCAUCUUGACAAGUAAAAAUACAUGUAUUCUCAUAUCAUGUUCAAAC